RNAcentral lists this ribosomal RNA (253 nucleotides) under uncultured bacterium. RNAcentral's name for it is "partial 16S ribosomal RNA". It matches the Rfam family "Bacterial small subunit ribosomal RNA", at positions 524 to 776 of the family's 1533-position model. The record is from RNAcentral.
UACGUAGGGUGCGAGCGUUGUCCGGAAUUAUAGGGCGUAAAGAGCUCGUAGGCGGUUUGUUGCGUCGACUGUGAAAACCUGGGGCUUAACUCUGGGCUUGCAGUCGAUACGGGCAGACUUGAGUUCGGUAGGGGAGACUGGAAUUCCUGGUGUAGCGGUGAAAUGCGUAGAGAUGUGGAGGAACACCGAUGGCGAAGGCAGCCCCCUGGGCUAACACUGACGCUCAUGCACGAAAGCGUGGGGAGCAAACAGG